GAUGAACGCUGGCGGCGUGCCUAAUACAUGCAAGUAGAACGCUGAAGGAGGAGCUUGCUCUUCUGGAUGAGUUGCGAACGGGUGAGUAACGCGUAGGUAACCUGCCUGGUAGCGGGGGAUAACUAUUGGAAACGAUAGCUAAUACCGCAUGACAACAGUUAUUGCAUGAUAACUGUUUAAAAGGGGCAACUGCUCCACUACCAGAUGGACCUGCGUUGUAUUAGCUAGUUGGUGAGGUAACGGCUCACCAAGGCGACGAUACAUAGCCGACCUGAGAGGGUGAUCAGCCAAACUGGGACUGAGACACGGCCCAGACUCCUACGGGAGGCAGCAGUAGGGAAUCUUCGGCAAUGGAAGGAAGUCUGACCGAGCAACGCCGCGUGAGGGAAGAAGGGUUUCGGAUCGUAAAGCUCUGUUGUAAGAGAAGAACGAGUGUGAGAGUGGAAAGUUCACACUGUGACGGUAUCUUACCAGAAAGGGACGGCUAACUACGUG
This 495-nucleotide ribosomal RNA is filed under the name uncultured bacterium. Its description in RNAcentral is "partial 16S ribosomal RNA". It matches the Rfam family "Bacterial small subunit ribosomal RNA", at positions 28 to 507 of the family's 1533-position model. The record is from RNAcentral.